GAUGAACGCUGGCGGCGUGCCUAAUACAUGCAAGUCGAGCGAACAGACGAGGAGCUUGCUCCUCUGACGUUAGCGGCGGACGGGUGAGUAACACGUGGAUAACCUACCUAUAAGACUGGGAUAACUUCGGGAAACCGGAGCUAAUACCGGAUAAUAUAUUGAACCGCAUGGUUCAAUAGUGAAAGACGGUAUUGCAGUACCUUAUAGAGAUAUCCCGGUCGAAUUGGCUAGUUGGUAAGGUAACGGACUACAAAGGCAACGAAGCGUAGCCGACUUGAGAGGGGGAUCGGCCCCACGGGAACUGAGACAGGGUCCAGACUCCUACGGGAGGCAGCAGUAGGGAAUCUUCCGCAAUGGGCGAAAGCUUGACGGAGCAACGCCGCGUAAGUGAUGAAGGUCUUCGGAUCGUAAAACUCUGUUAUUAGGGAAGAACAAAUGUGUAAGUAACUAUGCACGUCUUGACGGUACCUAAUCAGAAAGCCACGGCUAACUACGUG
This 497-nucleotide ribosomal RNA is filed under the name uncultured bacterium. Its description in RNAcentral is "partial 16S ribosomal RNA". It matches the Rfam family "Bacterial small subunit ribosomal RNA", at positions 28 to 507 of the family's 1533-position model. The record is from RNAcentral.